Molecule: long non-coding RNA, 1459 nt
Organism: Myotis brandtii (Brandt's bat)
Lineage: Eukaryota; Metazoa; Chordata; Mammalia; Chiroptera; Vespertilionidae
Exons: 2
Source: RefSeq, a predicted model, not a curated record
UUGAGAACCACAGCUCUAGGGACUUAGACCGGGACUCCCAGGAGUCCCCACUUCCACUGAGCCUCCCAUGUUGGCUCUGCACCUGCCAGCCUCCUCACUUGCACCCAUCAGCUGCAGUACAUUUGCCCCAAAAUGCAUAUUCCAAGCCGAGCUGCCAUAUUCUUACAGAAAAGUGAUGUAUCCUGAUUGAAAUAGGUGAAUGUAUUGCUGCCAUCUACCUUUCAACAUUAUAAUGGAUAUAUUUUCCCUUUAAAACAGUAUCGUGCUUACUAUGGAGCAUUUAAAGCUGUCACCAAGAAAAACAGAACUUCUGAAGAAGCCGGAGACCUCAGUGCCUUGCGUUUUAUAUCCGUGAUCUCAAUUGUGGACCCUUGGAUUUUCAUCAUUUUCAGGACAUCAGUAUUUCGGAUGUUUUUUCACAAGAUGUUCAUAAGGCCGCUUACGUAUAGAAAUAGGCACAUCAAUGCCUGCCAAACUCAGAUGGCAAGUCUUACAGUCUCCGGUUUAUCAUAUUAAUGGAUGUUGGGGAGGAAGGAUUUAUGCUUCUUUGAAAGCAGUGAUGUGAGAAUUUCCAGAGAGCCAAGUAGAGCUGAGCCAUGUUUACUCCCUGUGGUUGUGCGAAGCCGCAGGGCAUUCAGCAGAGCGAAAAGCCCGCCCAGGACUCAGUCAACCUCAGCUGAGGGUGGUGGCAGGGACCUUAACAUCUACCUAUUGACAGCCGCAUUCUGCUCUUUGUGGAAACAGUAAGAUCUUGUGGAGGUUCCGGAGAGCUCUGCACAUUUAAAACGAGCAGGAUGGGCUCAGAUGGAGCACAGCUGAGCACUUUAAUUGUACAUUAAAUGUUUACAAAGGUUAGCAACACUAUGAAAAAGGAACAAGAGGGGAAGAUACGCUGCAGCUGUUAAACUAAACAAGCACACAGGUAAAAGCUUUUACCUUUGGUGAAAAAAACAGAUGGGGGACAUUCGGGCAUUUUCAGCAUCUCCAGAGUCCCUUGGUACCCUGACACACGCAGACUCUGAGAUGGAGAGCCGGCUGCCCUUGAACAGACCCAAGACGCCGGGUCAGCCAUCCCUUCCAAAGACAAGAGCAUUGGACUUAUUGCCAACAGAGCAGCAACCCCACUUUGCACCUUUGGUUUAUAUCAGUGAUGAUAUUAACCUGGAUACGUGUGUGCGUGCGUGUGUGUGUGUGUGUGUGUGUGUGUGUGUGUGUAGCAACACUGUGAAAUGGCCAAUUAGGAAUACCUGAAUUAUAAUUUUGGGAGUAUGAUGGGGUGAAAAAUGCAGUCAUUUUCAACGUUUAAUUUUCAUUUGUAUAUUUAAUAUGUGAGUACAUACGUGUUUUAUUGUGGAGGAAGUGAAGUUUUUUGUGUUCUCCUUUUGGAAGGUGUGUUGUGAUCAUUGUCAAGGUCACCUGAAAAGGUCACAGAUGAAUCAAUAAACAUCUUUAUAAUAUU